GACGAACGCUGGCGGCGUGCUUAACACAUGCAAGUCGUACGGUAAGGCCCUUUCGGGGGUACACGAGUGGCGCACGGGUGAGUAACACGUGAGUAACCUGCCCACAACUUUGGGAUAACGCUAGGAAACUGGUGCUAAUACUGGAUAUGUGCUCCUGCUGCAUGGUGGGGGUUGGAAAGCUCCAGCGGUUGUGGAUGGACUCGCGGCCUAUCAGCUUGUUGGUGGGGUAGUGGCCUACCAAGGCGGCGACGGGUAGCCGGCCUGAGAGGGUGACCGGCCACAUUGGGACUGAGAUACGGCCCAGACUCCUACGGGAGGCAGCAGUGGGGAAUAUUGCACAAUGGGCGCAAGCCUGAUGCAGCAACGCCGCGUGCGGGAUGACGGCCUUCGGGUUGUAAACCGCUUUCAGCAGGGACGAAGCUUUUUGUGACGGUACCUGCAGAAGAAGCACCGGCUAACUACGUG
Molecule: ribosomal RNA, 465 nt
Filed under: uncultured bacterium
Lineage: Bacteria
Description: partial 16S ribosomal RNA
Rfam family: Bacterial small subunit ribosomal RNA
Source: RNAcentral